GGGGCUGCCCUGGUUUCGACGUGGGUUCGGAAUCGGCGUGGUGCAUGUCGAGCUUGAUUGGCGCUCGUAAAUCUGCAUUCAAAAAAACUAACUGCAAACGACGAACGUUUCGCACUCGCUGCUUAAUUGCCAGUGAGCCUUGCAACAGUUGGCCGAUGGGCUGGGCAAGGGGGUAUCGAGCAAUCGGUGCCUCCCGGCUGCAAGGAUAAUUACAUGGGCUGGUUCUGAUCCGGGUACCUUGGGUUGGGACGAGACAAUAGGGUACUGGCGGCCGGUAUAGCGUGCGACUGCGCGAUACCGGUGGCGAGACUUAAAUCAGACCGCUAAACAUGUAGAUCUGCCCGGUAAAGGCUUGCGGACGCGGGUUCAAUUCCCGCCAGCUCCACCA
Molecule: transfer-messenger RNA, 388 nt
Filed under: Burkholderiales
Lineage: Bacteria; Pseudomonadati; Pseudomonadota; Betaproteobacteria
Also listed under: 1 other name
Description: Giesbergeria suum Standard tmRNA
Rfam family: transfer-messenger RNA
About the family: Bacterial tmRNA, also known as 10Sa RNA or SsrA, is named for its dual tRNA and mRNA-like properties. Its role is to liberate the mRNA from a stalled ribosome.
Source: RNAcentral